Small nuclear RNA from Mirounga angustirostris (Northern elephant seal), 187 nucleotides. RefSeq annotates it as U2 spliceosomal RNA. The record is from RefSeq and is a predicted model, not a curated record. The transcript has a single exon. Lineage: Eukaryota; Metazoa; Chordata; Mammalia; Carnivora; Phocidae.
AUCGCUUCCCGGCCUUUUGGCUAAGAUCAAGUGUAGUAUCUGUUCUUACCAGUUUAAAAAAUAUUUCUCGGGGCGCCUGGGUGGCUCAGUCGUUAAGCGUCUGCCUUCAGCUCAGGUCAUGACCCCAGGGUCAUGGGAUCGAGCCCCACAUCGGGCUCCAUGCUCAGCGGGAAGCCUGCUUCUCCCU